GACGAACGCUGGCGGCGUGCUUAACACAUGCAAGUCGAACGGAAAGGCCCUGCUUUUGUGGGGUGCUCGAGUGGCGAACGGGUGAGUAACACGUGAGUAACCUGCCCUUGUCUUUGGGAUAACUUCAGGAAACUGGGGCUAAUACCGGAUAGGAGCUCCUGCUGCAUGGUGGGGGUUGGAAAGUUUCGGCGGUUGGGGAUGGACUCGCGGCUUAUCAGCUUGUUGGUGGGGUAGUGGCUUACCAAGGCUUUGACGGGUAGCCGGCCUGAGAGGGUGACCGGCCACAUUGGGACUGAGAUACGGCCCAGACUCCUACGGGAGGCAGCAGUGGGGAAUAUUGCACAAUGGGCGGAAGCCUGAUGCAGCAACGCCGCGUGCGGGAUGACGGCCUUCGGGUUGUAAACCGCUUUCGCCUGUGACGAAGCGUGAGUGACGGUAAUGGGUAGAGAAGCACCGGCUAACUACGUG
RNAcentral lists this ribosomal RNA (468 nucleotides) under uncultured bacterium. RNAcentral's name for it is "partial 16S ribosomal RNA". It matches the Rfam family "Bacterial small subunit ribosomal RNA", at positions 28 to 507 of the family's 1533-position model. The record is from RNAcentral.